AACGGUCUAUACCUGCGGUACCUGCGGAAGGAUCAUUACCGAGUGAGGGCCCUCUGGGUCCAACCUCCCACCCGUGUUUAUCGUACCUUGUUGCUUCGGCGGGCCCGCCGCAAGGCCGCCGGGGGGCUUCCGCCCCCGGGCCCGCGCCCGCCGAAGACACCUGUGAACGCUGUAUGAAGAUUGCAGUCUGAGCGAAAAGCUAAAUUUAUUAAAACUUUCAACAAUGGAUCUCUAGAUCGG
This 240-nucleotide unclassified non-coding RNA is filed under the name soil metagenome. RNAcentral's name for it is "partial contains 5.8S ribosomal RNA, internal transcribed spacer 2, and large subunit ribosomal RNA". The record is from RNAcentral.